This is a long non-coding RNA of Canis lupus familiaris (dog), 930 nucleotides long. RefSeq lists it as uncharacterized. The record is from RefSeq and is a predicted model, not a curated record. NCBI's taxonomy places the organism in Eukaryota, Metazoa, Chordata, Mammalia, Carnivora, Canidae. The transcript is spliced from 3 exons.
UGCCCCAAUAUUCAUGAAGAGCAUGUGGGACUAGACCUAUUAUUACAACUAUUAUUAUUUUUUGGAAAAUACCAUCUACCACAGUGGGAGAAGCAUGGGUGGAACCUAGAAAUAUCACAGUAGCAUUUUUGCACAAGUUACAUAAGCUUUCUAAGUCUUAGUUCCAUAAAUACUAUCAUACAGCCCACCAUAUGGCUGAGCUACAAGCAAUACCAGACCGGCCUUGUGACGGAAAGUGGCCCUCACCUCCCUGGCCUUGUUGUACAAUCAAUAUAUGUGGUUUUCCAGGUGGAGCUGCAGCCAGGGGUUUAGCAAUCCCAGGCUAGCUCUACUCAUCUGAAUUUCUAUCCCAGGCACCUGCUCUGGGCCUAAUUGGCUGAGACUUUGCAGAGACUUAUUUUGGGGUGAGCCCUGAAAAAUAGACCUCAUUUGUCCUCCAUUUACACUGCAUGUCACCUGAUCCCUGGGAAACUGGCAUUUUUCUCUUUUACCUCUUGCCUACACUGUCAAGAAAUCCAAGCUGAGCUGAUUAUUUCUCAAUUUGAUCGCAAAAUUGAAAAAACAAUGCGUUUUAUCCUCUGGUCAUUGGCUCUGCCCAUUUCAGAAGCUUUAUGCUGAAGAUAUUAGAAGGUGCAAUUACCUCAUGGAUCAGUGACUACUAAGCUGAUACGUCAUUGAUUUUUUAAACCAUGAGGUGAAGUGAGCUCAGCUGAAGUGGAUCAAAAUGUCUCAACCCUGUGAGAAGGUCUUUUUCCCCAUGUCUUUGUUGCAGCUAUGCAGGGGAGAAUCAACUUGGUAGGAAGGAUUUUGGUAAUAUUUAGUCUACACCAAGCAGAGAAAAGAAAUUUCAUUUUAAGAGUGACUUCCUAUAUAAAAGUGUAUUAUAAUUCUUUUUACCUCAAUUGCCUAGACCAUUAGUAAAUGAUAUUG